Non-coding RNA from Podarcis lilfordi (Lilford's wall lizard), 72 nucleotides. Lineage: Eukaryota; Metazoa; Chordata; Lepidosauria; Squamata; Lacertidae. The record is from the annotation of a GenBank genome assembly.
AGGGAGGUAGCUCAGUGGUAUAGCCUCUGCUUUGCAUGCAGGAGGUCACAGGUUCAAUCCCCGGCGUCUCCA